GGGAAUAACUGUACAUAGUUCGUUGAAAGUAGCAUCACAUGUAGAUAGGUUGGUCAAAACGGCUUUUGGCUCAUUGGCCUUUAUCUGCCAGAACAUUGAGUAUAGAUGUUGGGAGGUCAUGUUGUAGUUGUAUAAGACGUUGGUGAGGCCGUAUUUAGAGUAUUGU
Long non-coding RNA from Amblyraja radiata (thorny skate), 166 nucleotides. RefSeq lists it as uncharacterized. The transcript has 3 exons. NCBI's taxonomy places the organism in Eukaryota, Metazoa, Chordata, Chondrichthyes, Rajiformes, Rajidae. The record is from RefSeq and is a predicted model, not a curated record.